Non-coding RNA from Butyrivibrio proteoclasticus, 374 nucleotides. Lineage: Bacteria; Bacillati; Bacillota; Clostridia; Lachnospirales; Lachnospiraceae. The record is from Rfam.
UGUAGCAGGUCCCAAGGGUUGGGCUGUUCGCCCAUUAAAGCGGUACGCGAGCUGGGUUCAGAACGUCGUGAGACAGUUCGGUCCCUAUCCGGCGCGGGCGUAGGAUAUCUGAGAGGAGCUGUCCUUAGUACGAGAGGACCGGGAUGGACGGACCGCUGGUGUAUCAGCUGCAUCGCCAGAUGCAUAAGGCUGGGUAGCCACGUCCGGAAGGGAUAAACGCUGAAGGCAUCUAAGCGUGAAGCCCCCCUCAAGAUGAGAUAUCCCUUACGCAAGUAAGUAAGACCCCUUGAAGAGUACGAGGUUAGAUAGGCACAAGGUGUAAGCACGGUAACGUGUUGAGCUGAUGUGUACUAAUAGGUCGAGGGCUUAUCCAA